GGAAGGGUACAGCUCAGUGGUAGAGCGCAUGCUUAGCAUGCACGAGGUCCUGGGUUCAAUGCCCUGUACCUCCA
Non-coding RNA from Camelus ferus (Wild Bactrian camel), 74 nucleotides. The record is from Rfam. Lineage: Eukaryota; Metazoa; Chordata; Mammalia; Artiodactyla; Camelidae.